RNAcentral lists this long non-coding RNA (231 nucleotides) under Gossypium raimondii (Peruvian cotton). RNAcentral's name for it is "long non-coding RNA (GRAI_LNC001271)". Lineage: Eukaryota; Viridiplantae; Streptophyta; Magnoliopsida; Malvales; Malvaceae. The record is from RNAcentral.
AGGAAGGGCUGAAAACGCAAUUAGCCCUUCCGCUUAAAAAAACACGCGGAUCAUUCAUCCAGAGCGGGUCGGGUCGGGCUGCCAUUAGUGAAACGACGUUGUUUUUGAACUCAUUCUUUGGCCCAAAACGGCGCCGUUUCGAAUAAGCUAUAAAAUUUUUUUAAACUAAAAAAAAAAUCAUUCUUCCCCCCAUCUAAAAAAAACAAAAGCUUUCUCUCAACCCUCUCCCUC